UCAUGGCUCAGAUUGAACGCUGGCGGCAGGCUUAACACAUGCAAGUCGAGCGGUAACAGGAGAAGCUUGCUUCUCGCUGACGAGCGGCGGACGGGUGAGUAAUACUUAGGAAUCUACCUAGUAGUGGGGGAUAGCUCGGGGAAACUCGAAUUAAUACCGCAUACGACCUACGGGAGAAAGGGGGCAACUUGUUGCUCUCGCUAUUAGAUGAGCCUAAGUCGGAUUAGCUAGAUGGUGGGGUAAAGGCCUACCAUGGCGACGAUCUGUAGCUGGUCUGAGAGGAUGAUCAGCCACACCGGGACUGAGACACGGCCCGGACUCCUACGGGAGGCAGCAGUGGGGAAUAUUGGACAAUGGGGGCAACCCUGAUCCAGCCAUGCCGCGUGUGUGAAGAAGGCCUUUUGGUUGUAAAGCACUUUAAGCAGUGAAGAAGACUCUAGGGUUAAUACCCCUAGACGAUGACAUUAGCUGCAGAAUAAGCACCGGCUAACUCUGUGCCAGCAGCCGCGGUAAUACAGAGGGUGCAAGCGUUAAUCGGAAUUACUGGGCGUAAAGCGAGCGUAGGUGGCUUGAUAAGUCAGAUGUGAAAUCCCCGGGCUUAACCUGGGAACUGCAUCUGAUACUGUUGAGCUAGAGUAGGUGAGAGGGAAGUAGAAUUCCAGGUGUAGCGGUGAAAUGCGUAGAGAUCUGGAGGAAUACCGAUGGCGAAGGCAGCUUCC
Molecule: ribosomal RNA, 719 nt
Filed under: Psychrobacter fulvigenes
Lineage: Bacteria; Pseudomonadati; Pseudomonadota; Gammaproteobacteria; Moraxellales; Moraxellaceae
Description: bacterial SSU rRNA
Rfam family: Bacterial small subunit ribosomal RNA
Source: RNAcentral